Molecule: ribosomal RNA, 468 nt
Filed under: uncultured Sphingobacteriales bacterium
Lineage: Bacteria; Pseudomonadati; Bacteroidota; Sphingobacteriia; Sphingobacteriales
Description: bacterial SSU rRNA
Rfam family: Bacterial small subunit ribosomal RNA
Source: RNAcentral
GACGGGGGCCCGCACAAGCGGUGGAGCAUGUGGUUUAAUUCGAUGAUACGCGAGGAACCUUACCUGGGCUCAAAUGUAUGUUGACGUAUUCUGAAAGGGAUACUUCUUCGGACAAUAUACAAGGUGCUGCAUGGUUGUCGUCAGCUCGUGCCGUGAGGUGUCGGGUUAAGUCCCAUAACGAGCGCAACCCCUAUCAUUAGUUGCCAUCAGGUCAAGCUGGGGACUCUAAUGAAACUGCCUACGCAAGUAGUGAGGAAGGUGGGGAUGACGUCAAAUCAGCACGGCCCUUACGUCCAGGGCUACACACGUGCUACAAUGGCCGGUACAAAGGGCAGCUACCUGGUGACAGGAUGCUAAUCUCAAAAGCCGGUCUCAGUUCGGAUCGGAGUCUGCAACCCGACUCCGUGAAGCUGGAAUCGCCAGUAAUCGCGCAUCAGCCAUGGCGCGGUGAAUACGUUCCCGGGCCUU